GACCCACAUAAGAGGUCCAGCCUGCCCAGUGACUCUGUUCAACGGCCGCGGUAUCCUAACCGUGCGAAGGUAGCGUAAUCACUUGUUCUUUAAUUGUGGACUAGUAUGAAUGGCACCACGAGGGUUAUACUGUCUCCUUUUUCUAAUCAGUGAAACUAAUCUCCCCGUGAAGAAGCGGGGAUAUGACUAUAAGACGAGAAGACCCUAUGGAGCUUUAAACAUUUAUAGCAAUUACCGUACAACAUACAACUUCCUGAACACUUAUUCUUAAGGUAGUGUGACUACAAGUUUUUGGUUGGGGUGACCACGGAGCAUAAAACAACCUCCAUAUUGAAAGAAAACAUUUCUAAGCUAAAACCUACACGUUUAGGCAUCAGCACACUGACAUUCAUUGACCCAAUAUAUUUGAGCAACGAACCAAGUUACCCUAGGGAUAACAGCGCAAUCCACUUUAAGAGCCCUUAUCGACAAGUGGGUUUACGACCUCGAUGUUGGAUCAGGGUAUCCCAGUGGUGUAGCCGCUACUAAAGGUUCGUUUGUUCAACGAUUAAAACCCUACGUGAUCUGAGUUCA
This 573-nucleotide ribosomal RNA is filed under the name Sclerophrys latifrons (high tropical forest toad). RNAcentral's name for it is "partial 16S ribosomal RNA". It matches the Rfam family "Bacterial large subunit ribosomal RNA", at positions 1838 to 2613 of the family's 2925-position model. Lineage: Eukaryota; Metazoa; Chordata; Amphibia; Anura; Bufonidae. The record is from RNAcentral.